This 467-nucleotide ribosomal RNA is filed under the name uncultured bacterium. Its description in RNAcentral is "partial 16S ribosomal RNA". It matches the Rfam family "Bacterial small subunit ribosomal RNA", at positions 30 to 523 of the family's 1533-position model. The record is from RNAcentral.
AUUGAACGCUGGCGGCGUGCUUUACACAUGCAAGUCGAGCGGAAAACUUCGGUUUUCAGCGGCGGACGGGUGAGUAACACGUGGGCAACCUGCCUCACAAUGAGGGAUAGCCUUCCGAAAGGAAGAUUAAUACCUCAUAACACAAGAGAAACGCAUGUUUCUCUUGCCAAAGAAUUUCGUUGUGAGAUGGGCCCGCGGCGCAUUAGCUUGUUGGUGAGGUAACGGCUCACCAAGGCUUCGAUGCGUAGCCGACCUGAGAGGGUGAUCGGCCACAUUGGAACUGAGACACGGUCCAGACUCCUACGGGAGGCAGCAGUGGGGAAUAUUGCACAAUGGAGGAAACUCUGAUGCAGCAACGCCGCGUGAGUGAUGAAGGUCUUCGGAUUGUAAAACUCUGUCUUCUGGGACGAUAAUGACGGUACCAGAGGAGGAAGCCACGGCUAACUACGUGCCAGCCGCCGCCGUAA